AGAACGAACGCUGGCGGCAGGCCUAACACAUGCAAGUCGAACGCCCUCGCAAGAGGGAGUGGCAGACGGGUGAGUAACGCGUGGGAACAUACCUUUUGGUUCGGAACAACCCAGGGAAACUUGGGCUAAUACCGGAUAAGCCCUUACGGGGAAAGAUUUAUCGCCGAAAGAUUGGCCCGCGUCUGAUUAGCUAGUUGGUGAGGUAACGGCUCACCAAGGCGACGAUCAGUAGCUGGUCUGAGAGGAUGAUCAGCCACAUUGGGACUGAGACACGGCCCAAACUCCUACGGGAGGCAGCAGUGGGGAAUAUUGGACAAUGGGCGCAAGCCUGAUCCAGCCAUGCCGCGUGAGUGAUGAAGGCCCUAGGGUUGUAAAGCUCUUUUGUGCGGGAAGAUAAUGACGGUACCGCAAGAAUAAGCCCCGGCUAACUUCGUGCCAGCAGCCGC
Molecule: ribosomal RNA, 446 nt
Filed under: uncultured bacterium
Lineage: Bacteria
Description: SSU rRNA
Rfam family: Bacterial small subunit ribosomal RNA
Source: RNAcentral